UACAGAGGGUGCAAGCGUUAAUCGGAAUUACUGGGCGUAAAGGGUGCGUAGGCGGCGCGGUAAGUCGGGUGUGAAAUCUCGGAGCUUAACUCCGAAACUGCAUUCGAUACUGCCGUGCUUGAGGACUGGAGAGGAGACUGGAAUUUACGGUGUAGCGGUGAAAUGCGUAGAUAUCGUAAGGAAGACCAGUGGCGAAGGCGGGUCUCUGGACAGUUCCUGACGCUGAGGCACGAAGGUCAGGGGAGCAAACGGG
This 253-nucleotide ribosomal RNA is filed under the name uncultured bacterium. RNAcentral describes it as "partial 16S ribosomal RNA". It matches the Rfam family "Bacterial small subunit ribosomal RNA", at positions 524 to 776 of the family's 1533-position model. The record is from RNAcentral.